UGGGGAAUAUUGGGCAAUGGGCGCAAGCCUGACCCAGCAACGCCGCGUGAAGGAAGAAGGCCCUCGGGUUGUAAACUUCUUUUAUGAGGGACGAAGAAGUGACGGUACCUCAUGAAUAAGCCACGGCUAACUACGUGCCAGCAGCCGCGGUAAUACGUAGGUGGCAAGCGUUAUCCGGAGUUACUGGGUGUAAAGGGCGUGUAGGCGGGGUCGCAAGUCAGAUGUGAAAUCUCAUGGCUCAACCAUGGAACUGCAUUUGAAACUGUGAUUCUUGAGUGAUGGAGAGGCAGACGGAAUUCCGUGUGUAGCGGUGAAAUGCGUAGAUAUACGGAGGAACACCAGUGGCGAAGGCGGUCUGCUGGACAUUAACUGACGCUGAGGCGCGAAAGCGUGGGGAGCAAACAGG
RNAcentral lists this ribosomal RNA (406 nucleotides) under uncultured bacterium. RNAcentral's name for it is "bacterial SSU rRNA". It matches the Rfam family "Bacterial small subunit ribosomal RNA", at positions 355 to 776 of the family's 1533-position model. The record is from RNAcentral.